AUCUGGGUUCCAGUUCGGGCUCUACCAGCAGCACCCAUGUGUCCUUCUGUUCUCUGGGCCUCAAUUUCCUGUUGUAAAAUUCAGAACUUGGAAGAGCAUUUCAGGAGGUUCCUGUGAAAAACCUACAUGCACACACCCCCACGUGCAGCUGCAGACUGCUAUCUAUACACGAAGUUAUGCAUCGCAGAGUCGACUGCAAAAGGCUGGAGCCCACACAGCGUCUAUCAAUAGGGAACGGGUUAAAUCGACCACAAGAUUUCCAUAUGACGAUGGAACACUUUCCAGCCAAGAAAGGAGGAGGAAGUCCUCACUGCUCUGAUACGGAACAGUCACCAAGACAUAUUUUAAGUAAAAAAAAGGCAGCAUGCAUAACCAGGGAAAUGAAAACUAAAACCACAGUGAGUUACAAUUUCACACAGAUCCAUCUACAAAAAAAAAAAAGCUGAUAAUUGCAGGUGUUGGUGAAGAAGUGGAGUGAGGGGAAUGCUCAAACUACUAGUGGGUGUGCGAAUGGUUAUAACCACUUUUUAAAAUUUUGGCAUUAUCUACUGAAGUUGACAAUGUACUUUCCCAAUGGCCUUGCAAAUGCCCUGGAGAAGUUCUUACCCAACCCCCGCCAUUCCCCCCAACACACACCAAAAGAAACAAUUAAGAACAUUUGCACCAGCUCUGUUCCUAGAACCCCAAAACUGAGGCCAGCACUGAGGCCAAGCACAGUGGCUCAUGCCUGUAAUCCCAGCAGGCAUGAGCCACCCUUUGGGAGCCUGAGGCCGGAGGAUUAUUGAGGUUGAGAGUUCAAGACCAGCCUGGGCAACAUAGUGAGACCUUGUCUCUAUAAAAGAAGUUUUAAAAAUUAGCCAGGUGUGAUGGCUCAUGCUUGUAGUCCCAGCUAAUUGGGAGGCUGAGGUAGG
This 911-nucleotide long non-coding RNA is filed under the name Homo sapiens (human). RNAcentral describes it as "HSALNT0334046". Lineage: Eukaryota; Metazoa; Chordata; Mammalia; Primates; Hominidae. The record is from RNAcentral.